Molecule: ribosomal RNA, 383 nt
Filed under: uncultured eukaryote
Lineage: Eukaryota
Description: partial 18S ribosomal RNA
Rfam family: Eukaryotic small subunit ribosomal RNA
Source: RNAcentral
UGUAAGCGUAUACCAAAGUUGUUGCAGUUAAAACGCUCGUAGUCGGAACUUGGCCGUGUCGGAUGUGUGCACGUCGUGUGCGCGCAUUGCAGAUAUGGCUUUUGUGGUUUUUGCGUGCGAUGAGGCACGUUUAUUCGUGAACGUCGUUUCGCAGCCACUUUUUACUGUGAGAAAAUCAGAGUGCUCAAAGCAGGCAUUUGCCGUGAAUGUAUUAGCAUGGAAUAAUAGAAUAGGACUCGGUUCUAUUUUGUUGGUUUGUUGGGACUGAGUAAUGAUUAAGAGGGACAGUUGGGGGCAUUUGUAUUUCGGUGCUAGAGGUGAAAUUCUUAGAUUACCGAAAGACAAACUGCUGCGAAAGCGUCUGCCAAGGAUGUUUUCAUUGA